UACGAAGGGGGGCUAGCGUUGCUCGGAAUCACUGGGCGUAAAGGGCGCGUAGGUGGUGGCUUAAGCGUGCGGUGAAAGCUCGGGGCUCAACUCCGAGUCGGCCGUGCGAACUGGGCUCACUGGAGCAUAGUAGAGGCAGGUGGAAUUCCGGGUGUAGCGGUGGAAUGCGUAGAGAUCCGGAAGAACACCGGUGGCGAAGGCGGUCUGCUGGGGGUGAGGCUGGACGCUGAUGCGCGACAGCGUGGGGGAGCAAACAGG
RNAcentral lists this ribosomal RNA (258 nucleotides) under uncultured bacterium. Its description in RNAcentral is "partial 16S ribosomal RNA". It matches the Rfam family "Bacterial small subunit ribosomal RNA", at positions 524 to 776 of the family's 1533-position model. The record is from RNAcentral.